This 931-nucleotide long non-coding RNA is filed under the name Mytilus galloprovincialis (Mediterranean mussel). Lineage: Eukaryota; Metazoa; Mollusca; Bivalvia; Mytilida; Mytilidae. The record is from RNAcentral.
GUACAUGUCAAUCUCACAGCUUUUUUUUACCUUGACCUCAUUUUCCCGAUUUAUUUGUAAAUGUUGAGUUUUCAUGGUUAAGUUUGUUUCUUUGAUACUAUGAGCAUUAAGUCAACUAUAUUUAAUGCAGAUUGUUAGGUGAACUUUUGUCUGGCAUGGUUCACCCAACCCUGAUUUCAUUUUCAUUGUUCAUUGGACAAUGUUAAGUUUUCUUGGUAAAGUUGUUUCUUAGAAACUAUAAGCAAUAUGUCAAGUGUAUUCGGUGUAUUUAAAAUCAUUGUAAAGUUUUUCUUGUUUGGUAAUUUUGACCUCACCCUGAUUUUCUUUAAAAAUGUAAAGGUUGUGAUACUUGUAGCAAAGCUUUAUACAAUGUAUUUAGGAAUAUCAACAUAAAUUCAAGUAAAGACGACGAGACAGAUCAGUGUGAAUACUCUUGUCCAUAUAUAAUGUAAACUUUGGCUGUUUUUCCUUGGGAUGUACCAAGAACAAUAAAUUGAAUGCAACAUGUUCUUCAAGUUUUCAAUAAACAAGUUGAAAAUCUAAAGUAAUUCCCUCAGAUCCUCUGUAGUGGUAUUAUGUUUUAUUUUCAAUAGAUAAGAUUUAAUAGAUUUAUUCGAUUCAUUUAUUUAGUUUUUUUUUUUUUUUAAAUCUAACUAUUCUUCUCUGCAUGGUAUAGCAGCUCAAGAUUGCUCCAACUACUCCAACCUAUCUUGAAUAUUUGUGGGAUUGUGUGGGUCUAUGGGACAAGAGCAAUACAUACAAGAAACAUGGAAUUAGCUAUAAACCAAAAAUAAGAUGGAACUUUUAGAUUCAACAUCAUAAGAUAAGGCUAUCAUCAAGCAACUACACCAUACAUCAUUCUAUAACUUUCCACAAGUAUUCACCUUUUCCUCACACCACACAUCAAGUCUCUAAAAUCGUCUAUUUUGAG